GAUGAACGCUGGCGGCGUGCCUAAUACAUGCAAGUCGAGCGAACAGACGAGGAGUUUGCUCCUCUUACUUUAGCGGCGGACGGGUGAGUAACACGUGGAUAACCUACCUAUAAGACUGGGAUAACUUCGGGAAACCGGAGCUAAUACCGUGUAAUAUAUUGAACCGCAUGGUUCAAUAGUGAAAGACGGUUUUGCUGUCACUUAUAGAUGGAUCCGCGCCGCAUUAGCUAGUUGGUAAGGUAACGGCUUACCAAGGCAACGAUGCGUAGCCGACCUGAGAGGGUGAUCGGCCACCCUGGAACUGAGACACGGUCCAGACUCCUACGGGAGGAAGCAGUAGGGAAUCUUCCGCAAUGGGCGAAAGCCUGACGGAGCAACGCCGCGUGAGUGAUGAAGGUCUUCGGAUCGUAAAACCCUGUUAUUAGGGAAGACCAAAUGUGUAAGUAAAUAUGCACGUCUUGACGGUACCUAAUCAGAAAGCCACGGCUAACUACGUG
Molecule: ribosomal RNA, 497 nt
Filed under: uncultured bacterium
Lineage: Bacteria
Description: partial 16S ribosomal RNA
Rfam family: Bacterial small subunit ribosomal RNA
Source: RNAcentral